UUAGAAGUCGAGCGGAUGAAGGGAGCUUGCUCCUGGAUUCAGCGGCGGACGGGUGAGUAAUGCCUAGGAAUCUGCCUGGUAGUGGGGGAUAACGUCCGGAAACGGGCGCUAAUACCGCAGACGUCCUGAGGGAGAAAGUGGGGGAUCUUCGGACCCCCCUAUAGAGGGCCUAGGUGGAUUAGCUAUUGGGGGGGAAAGGCCCACCAAGGCGAGAUCCGAAACUGGUCUGAGAGGAUUCAUCACACGGAACUGAGACACGGUCCAGACUCCUACGGGAGGCACCAGUGGGGAAAUUGGACAAAGGGCGAAAGCCUGAUCCACCCAUGCCGCGGUGGGAAGAAGGUCUUCGGAUUGUAAAGCACUUUAAGUUGGGAGGAAGGGCAGUAAGUUAAUACCUUGCUGUUUUGACGUUACCAACAGAAUAAGCACCGGCUAACUUCGUGCCAGCAGCCGCGGUAAUACGAAGGGUGCAAGCGUUAAUCGGAAUUACUGGGCGUAAAGCGCGCGUAGGUGGUUCAGCAAGUUGGAUGUGAAAUCCCCGGGCUCAACCUGGGAACUGCAUCCAAAACUACUGAGCUAGAGUACGGUAGAGGGUGGUGGAAUUUCCUGUGUAGCGGUGAAAUGCGUAGAUAUAGGAAGGAACACCAGUGGCGAAGGCGACCACCUGGACUGAUACUGACACUGAGGUGCGAAAGCGUGGGGAGCAAACAGGAUUAGAUACCCUGGUAGUCCACGCCGUAAACGAUGUCGACUAGCCGUUGGGAUCCUUGAGAUCUUAGUGGCGCAGCUAACGCGAUAAGUCGACCGCCUGGGGAGUACGGCCGCAAGGUUAAAACUCAAAUGAAUUGACGGGGGCCCGCACAAGCGGUGGAGCAUGUGGUUUAAUUCGAAGCAACGCCAAGAACCUUACCUGGCCUUGACAUGCUGAGAACUUUCCAGAGAUGGAUUGGUGCCUUCGGGAACUCAGACACAGGUGCUGCAUGGCUGUCGUCACCUCGUGUCCUGAAAAGUUGGGUUAAUCCCCUAACGACCCCACCCUUGUCUUAGUUACCAACACCUCGGGUGGCCCUCUAGGAAACGGCCGGGAAAACCGAAGAAAGGGGGAUAACUCAAUCAUCUGGCCCUUACGGCAGGGUACACCGGGCUCAAUGGCGGAAAAGGUGCCAACCCAGGGAGAAUCCCAAAAACAUCUAUCCCCAACCCACCCCCCACCGCGCGGGAAGGGAAACGCGAGAAGGAAAAAAAAAUCCCCUAAAAAUU
This 1260-nucleotide ribosomal RNA is filed under the name Pseudomonas aeruginosa. RNAcentral's name for it is "bacterial SSU rRNA". It matches the Rfam family "Bacterial small subunit ribosomal RNA", at positions 55 to 1368 of the family's 1533-position model. Lineage: Bacteria; Pseudomonadati; Pseudomonadota; Gammaproteobacteria; Pseudomonadales; Pseudomonadaceae. The record is from RNAcentral.